This is an RNA transcript of Ornithodoros turicata, 932 nucleotides long. RefSeq lists it as uncharacterized. The record is from RefSeq and is a predicted model, not a curated record. NCBI's taxonomy places the organism in Eukaryota, Metazoa, Arthropoda, Arachnida, Ixodida, Argasidae. The transcript is spliced from 4 exons.
UAAGUACGUCGCCGUGAUCACGUCACUCGCUAUUGGUUGCAUGCGAUAGUGUUUCGUGACGUCACUUUUGCAUGAGACCCCGCUUCGUCGGCGCACGAAUACUGCUGUGAGUGCGGUUCUUUGAGGUGUACGUGCGUUGUAGGAGUUACGUUGCAAGCAACUGUAUAUUUUAUUUAUUUAUCAUAUUCUUAUUUUACAUUUUUACCGUUUUAUUUUUAUUUAACAUAUAUCCCUAUAUUUAAAUAGCGGGACAGCUCUGUUGUGCUGCGAAUGUCAUGUUGGGUCGUGAGAUAACUGAGAUAAAAUUUGAAGUUCGGAGGAGGCUGCAUAGAAGCAUUUCGCAGACGACAUUUCUGGAGGGGUUUGAGAACAGUAAUUUAAAUAUGAAAUGUCAAAGAAAUCUCAAUGGAAGAAAGUUCUCGUUGCUUGGAUGUCACAGUAACGGCUACUGUGUCAUCUUUAAGGCCGCGAUGUCGUUUGGACUUCGAGCACUAUACGGAGACUGCGUCCGGACAGGCCGCCACUGUGGCCACUGCAGUCUUAAUCCACGAAUUGAUUCAGCAGCUGCUCAGAGACUGCCAUGCGCGCUCCCUUCUGGUCAAGUGAGCUGUCGGCGGAACCCACCUUGCACAGAUUUUGCGGAACGAUGGCGCUGGAUGGGGACGACGGAAGUGGAGACCAGUGGGGACACCAGCUCGUCGGCCCCACUCCAAGACCGGUUUGGUCCUCUGUGCUCUCCACGUGGGAUUGUUUUGGAGCGCGCCGAGGGUUGUUCGCUGGAGAGCCGAUAGGAUAGGACUCGAAGGUGAAGAAUGUUCAUUGUCUGGAUUGCGAACUGUACAGCGAGCUGCAAACGAGAGUAGUUAGCUGUGUAUCAGCAAGAUAUUGCGUUGUACUUGAAUAAAAUAGCCAUACACGUAGAAAUAUAGUGA